Molecule: ribosomal RNA, 343 nt
Filed under: uncultured Alcaligenaceae bacterium
Lineage: Bacteria; Pseudomonadati; Pseudomonadota; Betaproteobacteria; Burkholderiales; Alcaligenaceae
Description: bacterial SSU rRNA
Rfam family: Bacterial small subunit ribosomal RNA
Source: RNAcentral
CACAGGUGCUGCAUGGCUGUCGUCAGCUCGUGUCGUGAGAUGUUGGGUUAAGUCCCGCAACGAGCGCAACCCUUGUCAUUAGUUGCUACGAAAGGGCACUCUAAUGAAACUGCCGGUGACAAACCGGAGGAAGGUGGGGAUGACGUCAAGUCCUCAUGGCCCUUAUGGGUAGGGCUUCACACGUCAUACAAUGGUCGGUACAGAGGGCUGCCAACCCGUAAGGGGGAGCCAAUCCUUUAAAACCGAUCGUAGUCCGGAUUGAGGUCUGCAACUCGACCUCAUGAAGUCGGAAUCGCUAGUAAUCGCGGAUCAGCAUGUCGCGGUGAAUACGUUCCCGGGUCUU